RNAcentral lists this ribosomal RNA (121 nucleotides) under Hadesarchaea archaeon. Lineage: Archaea; Methanobacteriati; Hadarchaeota (SeqCode); Hadarchaeia (SeqCode). The record is from RNAcentral.
GUUGGCGGCCAUAGCGGUGAGGAAACACCCGGUCCCGUCAGAUCCCGGAAGUUAAGCUCACCAGCGAUUCGGGUUGUACUGCCUUGCGAGAGCAGGUGGGAACCCCGAGACGCUGCCAACC